RNAcentral lists this ribosomal RNA (459 nucleotides) under uncultured bacterium. RNAcentral describes it as "partial 16S ribosomal RNA". It matches the Rfam family "Bacterial small subunit ribosomal RNA", at positions 338 to 795 of the family's 1533-position model. The record is from RNAcentral.
CCUACGGGUGGCAGCAGUGAGGAAUAUUGGUCAAUGGGAGAGAUCCUGAACCAGCCAAGCCGCGUGAGGGACGACGGCCCUAUGGGUUGUAAACCUCUUUUGUCGGAGGACAAAACCCGGGACGUGUCCCAGACUGCGUGUAUCCGAAGAAAAAGCAUCGGCUAACUCCGUGCAAGCAGCCGCGGUAAUACGGGGGAGUCGAGCGUUUUCCGGAUUUUUUGGGUUUAAAGGGUGAGUAGGCGGUCCGUUAGGUCAGCGGUAAAAUUGCGGGGCAAAACCCCGUCGGGCCGUUGAAACUGGCAGACUUGAGUGGGCGAGAAGUACGCGGAAUGCGCGGUGUAGCGGUGAAAUGCAUAGAUAUCGCGCAGAACUCCGAUUGCGAAGGCAGCGUACCGGCGCCAGACUGACGCUGAGGCACGAAAGCGUGGGGAUCGAACAGGAUUAGAUACCCUUGUAGUC